AUUGAACGCUGGCGGCAGGCCUAACACAUGCAAGUCGAGCGAGCGGCGGACGGGUGAGUAAUGUAUGGGGACUGCCCGAUAGAGGGGGAUCACCUCUGGAAACUGUGUCUAAUACCGCAUUCUAUCGUAUCCCCCAUAUGGGAUUAGCUAGUAGGUGGGGUAAAGGCUCCCCUAGGCGACGAUCUCUAGCUGGUCUGAGAGGAUGAUCAGCCACACUGGGACUGAGAAACGGCCCAGACUCCUACGGAGGCAGCAGUGGGGAAUAUUGCACAAUGGGCGCAAGCCUGAUGCAGCCAUGCCGCGUGUGUGAAGAAGGCCUUAGGGUUGUAAAGUACUUUCAGCGGGGAGGCGUUACCCGCAGAAGAAGCACCGGCUAACUCCGUGCCAGCAGCCGCGGUAAUUC
This 403-nucleotide ribosomal RNA is filed under the name uncultured bacterium. RNAcentral's name for it is "partial 16S ribosomal RNA". It matches the Rfam family "Bacterial small subunit ribosomal RNA", at positions 30 to 526 of the family's 1533-position model. The record is from RNAcentral.